AGCCAAGCUUUUUGUUGUUCUGUACUAAAAUUGAAGUGAUACAGAGAAGAUUAGCAUCGCCCUUGUGCAAGGAUAAUAAGCAAUUAUAUCGUGAAGUAUUCCACAAAAAC
RNAcentral lists this small nuclear RNA (110 nucleotides) under Mycetomoellerius zeteki. Lineage: Eukaryota; Metazoa; Arthropoda; Insecta; Hymenoptera; Formicidae. The record is from RNAcentral.